CUUAAGGAUUGUCCCGACGGUUUUCCGAUUUCGGAAUGAAAAGGGAAUGCAGUGCGGGCCGGAUGGCCUCAUGCUGCAGCUGCCCCCGCAACUGUAGGCGGAGAGCCUUCUGUCACAUGCCACUGGGAGCGAUCCCCGGGAAGGCGACAGGGGGCGGUGCUUCGCGAGCCAGGAGACCUGCCGUCAGCCGUUGUCACGC
Molecule: non-coding RNA, 199 nt
Filed under: Pontibaca methylaminivorans
Lineage: Bacteria; Pseudomonadati; Pseudomonadota; Alphaproteobacteria; Rhodobacterales; Roseobacteraceae
Source: RNAcentral